GGCUCUUCUCCUGAUUUUCAGUUCAAGGAGGAAAAGGACCCGGAGUCAUAAAUGUCUUAAGGUCGCACAGGAAGUCAGUGGCAGUCAGACAAGGAUCUACACCCCCGGAUCCUGUGACAUGUGCCAUUUUACAUCAUACUGACUACUCACGAAAAAUGCAGUUUUUAAGAAAAACAUAGUAAACACGCUUUUGGAUCUCUCCAAGCUCCCAUUUCCUCACAUGAGACGUCGUGAGGCUUCAGCGGGAGAACACGGGCCAAGUGCGCAGCCUGCUGUCAACGUUGGGUCCCCACUGUGCCCAGGGCCUCACACCAAUGCCUGAAAGUACCCACAGAUUCACUCCUGCACAACCCC
This 354-nucleotide long non-coding RNA is filed under the name Equus caballus (horse). Its description in RNAcentral is "lncRNA (ENSECAG00000059776.1)". The record is from RNAcentral. Lineage: Eukaryota; Metazoa; Chordata; Mammalia; Perissodactyla; Equidae.